AGAUCGACUUUUCCGGUAUAGAUUGAACAGCAGAGUAGUAGUGCUUUCUGUCGGACUCUUGCACGUUACAUUUUUUCAUAAUAUCUUGAUCGAUAAUAUGGCUUUUGACCAGUCCUCUGCCAGUGCGUCUGAAAAUGCUGAGGCCUCGGAACUUCAGAUGAUGAUAGCAGUCGAGCAACAGAAAGCUCAGUUUGAAGCACAGGUGCACACCUUCACCGACGUGUGCUGGGACAAAUGCAUGGAUAAGCCGAGCAGCAAGCUGGACUCCCGGACCGACACGUGCCUGGCUAGCUGUGUGGAGCGCUUCAUUGACGCCACCCUCACCAUCACAAACCGCUUUACUCAUAUGGCGCAGAAAGGGGGCAUGCAUUGACUUAGCAGGGAGAAGAGGAAGAGAAGGGGUAUGCAUUGAUUCAUUAAUUCAGUCACUGAGCCAGACUCAACACUUCAGGGACAAGAUCAAAGGACCUGUGCAACGAUUAUCAUCUUGUUCAAUGACUAUGCUGAUCCAUUUUUAUUUUUAUUACGUUUAUUUGGCAGGGACAAUGCACAACAAAAACAUAAGUCUCAUAGCACUGAGAAAUGAUGUCGCACCAGAUUUAGCUAAUAGCUACUUUCCAUCUGUAGUCCCUAGGCAGGUGAACAUGGACACAUCAUACACAAAACAGGCAACAUAAAUACAUCAGACAUGUAAAAAACAAAUAGAUGAGGACAUAGAUACCUUUUUAACACGUAGGUCAACACAUUGCACAUAAACAUGUUGCUGUUGGAUAAAAAUUGUUAUCUGUAAUGAUGCAGGCCUUUUGACUGUGCAUCAUGUUAUGGAGUUCUAAUGUGGGAUCUUUAAUGGUAUUCAUUGCUCUGCUUUGAACAUUUCAAUAAAAGGAAUAGCCUGAAGAGCAAUGAGCCAGAUGGGAAAUUCUUUAUUUUAAGGCAACAUCUCUCUGUGAAUUUAUAGGGUGAGCUCAUUUUGCAUUGCCCAGUCCCCUGGCUGUGGCCUGGGUGAGUGGAGUAAGCACUUGAUGUCUGAAGCAGAGCCCUUCUGUCUCUCUCUGUAUGUGUAGGCCAUCUAUCUGAUGCUGUCUGUUCAAAAAUAGUAUGACAUUGUGGCCACCCGUAGCAUUGAAUACAAGAAAAGCCAGCGAGCGUUUGGCUUCCAUUGAUUAAAAAAUAUAUAUAUAAAAUAAUAGCCAAUCAGUGUUGAGCUAAACUGAGUGAACCCAACUGUGAAUGGUCCUGGUGCACCAAAAAGAAAAAUGUAAAGGGAAGCCAGAUUGGAUUUGGCUUCACUCCAAACACAUCAAAUUGACAUCAAAUAUGUCAUUGACUAAAACAACUUGAAUUGUUGCAUCUCGUUGUGUUGUCUUCUGGUGGCUCGCUAGCUAAAAUGAUUCUUCUUUCCUAAAUUAGCCAUGAUUGGCGAUAGGCAUUAGUGGUUUUACUUCAUUCUCCGUACUGGCCAGUGACUAUAACGGCGAUUCUGAUCCCACCAUAAAUUCAUACAUUGUACCCCCGGCCUGAGUGGAUGGAAGUUCAAUAUUUAGCCAAAUGUAGAAGGCUAAUGUUAACUGGCUAACGUUGCCCAUGAAAGGAAGUUAGGCUAUCGAGCAAGAAUUUUAGCCAGGUAGCAUAGGACAACAAAAAAAGUGUACUGUAUGACAGAAUCAUAGACUGUUUUGUCAACAUGAACGAAAGGAUAGUGGUAUUGACGUUUCUCUACAAGUAGGGUGAGUCAACAUGUUUUUUUCUACUUGCAUGAAUGCACACACACAGACACACAUCAGAACCAUAGAAAGACACGUAUUUAGCUUAAGUUGGUUGGCCUAAAUUGUUUUUGUUAUCUUUUAGUUGUCACUGUGUUAGACUAAGCAUAGGUGAUUUGAUGAUGUUGAAAUGGUGCUGGAAUAGUGGAGGCAGCUCCUGUUUUCUUUGCUACUUGCAGUAACUCUCCGUGGUUCUAAAUCAUUAGUUGUCCCAAAAUGUCAGAAACAUUAACUUGCUUGACCAUGCUGUAGGUCAUGUAACGCUUACGCAGUUUGGAGUCCACGGGGGUGCAAAAUGAGUGCGCCCAUGAGAUGAGAAAGAAAACUAGGGAAUGGUCAACAUGUACUUCUUCACCCUACAAUCUAAAGGGUGAUGACGGGUAGGAAUGAAAUUAAAACUGAGUAAGAACAUGGUUGAGUAGGCCCUUUAUUCGUGGGGAUUUAAAAGGACAGAAGGCAGCAGUUGUGCAUGUAUUGUGGAAUACAUUUGACUAGCUUAUGAUAAUUGAAAGUUUUUGUUGUUGGAACGAUUACAUAGUUUAUUGAAGAAUAAAUAGGCUUUAUUGGCUGGCUACGUGCAUGACAUGCCGAAGGGUGUGUGUCACUUUAAGAACUUGAAUGGAAAAUAAAAGAAGGGUUUGUAUAACGACAUACUAGAGAAUCAAAAGUGAAAGUAAAGUGAUCCUAUGCGUUGCAAAAGCCUCGACUUUAUAUUUGACUACUUUCAACAGAUACCGACUAUGGAACUAGAAGAGAUCACUUUUUCUGGCUGGACUGCAAUUGAGGAGAAGAAUCUCCAUGCAGGCGAGAAGCCAAAAGACGAGAAAGUUUACACCAUGUACCAUGGCACGUUUCUCAAGUAUGUCCAGCAUAUUAUCACCAGUGGGUUCCAACGCUCCAGGGAUGGAAUGUUGGGAUCGGGGGUCUACGUGAGCCGUAAUAUCGACAAAGCAAAGUGUUACCCGCUGAAUGCUGACAAGAAGGAAGCGGUAGUGUUGAAGUUAAAGGUGCGGGUUGGCAAGGUGAAGAAGAUCGACAUUGAUAACCAUCCGCUUCAGAAGUCAUGGCACCAGAAUGGUUACGACAGUUGCUGGGUGCCACCAAACUGUGGCUUUACCGCUAUUAAAUCUGGCCGUGAAGAGGAUUGCGUCUGGGAUCCCGCCCGGAUUGUGGUGGUGGAUGUGGCCUGCUGUCUGGACGAUAAAACGCGCUGGGACCUCCGAAAGCAAAUACGCGGCAUGAAUAACCAUGGCGCAAAAGACGGGUGCAGCCAGUGCCACCAGAAUACCUCAAACACUGGGUCUCACCCUAUCCAAAGCUGUUGGACAUGCACCAAACAGAUUUGCCCCUUUCAGAAGAAGCAUGUGUGCAACAAGUAACUACUUGCACAAACAACUAGUCCUACUUUGCGUGGCCUGUCUCGCUUUUGACCCAUCACCCAAUGUGACCUUGCAUACCAUUUCAAAUUAAGCUUGAUGUCAUGUUUUAAUGUAUUUUGUGUAAUCAUUGCAACCCAAUUGUAUUGGGAUCGAAUUUGUUAACGGACUUGCCUGGUUAAAUAAAGGUUCAAUUGUAU
This is a non-coding RNA of Oncorhynchus mykiss (rainbow trout), 3339 nucleotides long. NCBI's taxonomy places the organism in Eukaryota, Metazoa, Chordata, Actinopteri, Salmoniformes, Salmonidae. The record is from RefSeq and is a predicted model, not a curated record.